This 506-nucleotide ribosomal RNA is filed under the name uncultured bacterium. RNAcentral describes it as "bacterial SSU rRNA". It matches the Rfam family "Bacterial small subunit ribosomal RNA", at positions 28 to 523 of the family's 1533-position model. The record is from RNAcentral.
GAUGAACGCUAGCGAUAGGCCUUACACAUGCAAGUCGAGGGGCAGCACAUAAAUUGUAGCAAUACGAUUUUGGUGGCGACCGGCGCACGGGUGAGUAACGCGUAUGCAACCUACCUACUACUUUGGCAUAGCUCGUUGAAAGACGAAUUAAUACCUCAUAAAACAGGGGCUCCGCAUGGAGAUAUUUGUUAAAAGAUUUAUCGGUAGUAGAUGGGCAUGCGUUCCAUUAGUUAGUUGGCGAGGUAACGGCUCACCAAGACAACGAUGGAUAGGGAACUGAGAGGUUUAUCCCCACACUGGAACUGAGACACGGUCCAGACUCCUACGGGAGGCAGCAGUGAGGAAUAUUGGUCAAUGGAGGCAACUCUGAACCAGCCAAGUCGCGUGAAGGAUGACGGCCCUACGGGUUGUAAACUCUUUUUAAGGGAAUAAAGUGAGCCACGUGUGGCUUUUUGCAUGUACCUUACGAUAAGGAUCGGCUAACUCCGUGCCAGCAGCCGCGGUAA